UGCCGACGGCUGCCCCCCGCUAAGCCCUCCCGCUGCCACCCGCUGCUGUGAAGAGGGCUGCUGCUGCCGCUCGGCCCUCAGGGGAGCCGCAGCAGCACGGGUUUUUUUUUUUUAAAGUCAUCCUUACAAGGUUGCGGUGGUAGACGCACUACCACCCUACUGCCAAGGCAGCCUGGAUCAUAUCACAGAACCUCGAUAGGGCCAGAGAUCAGAGAAGAGAAGAGAAGUUUUUGUUCCACCACACACCUACUGGAAACCUCAACAGCCAGGUGACACCACACACCUACUGGAGUUCUCAACAGCUAGGUGACAACUACAGCCACUGCCAUGACCACACAGAUCAUCUAGAGCUCUGCAGUUGACAGGCCCAGAGCUCCACUUGAAUCUUGGAUCUUGAACUUGAAAGCUCUCCAGUUGCAGGCCCAGAGCUCCAGCCUUGUACCCCAGAGGCUCCCUGCACCAAAGGGGGGGGUCUACACACCACCAAGGUGUGGAUGGGUUUUGGUAAACCAGGGCCCUUCCUGGUGGGGUGACCGGGAUUCGAACCCAGGAUCUCUCGAAGCCUUAACGAAAUCGGCUCGAGUGUCUUAACCAUUUAGACGACCCCCCCCCCCUGCCAGCUCUGGGUGCUUCCCCCCGCCACCAGAGCUGGCAGCGAGGGCGAGGCCACGGCAGGUGGUCCGCGGGCGCCACCAGCGGCAGCCGCUGCGUCACCCACACCCGCCGCCUCCUGCAUCUGCACGUCCCUGGAGUGUCCAGCUUAUGUGCAGGCGAGGACGUGGCUGCAGCAGCUGUGGGCCUGCAUUGCGCCCCAGGCAGCGGCGCCGCCAGUGACGGACGCGUGCUUCAUGCUGGGGGACCGCAUGGGUAUGUGGGCCUCAGGCCCGCGGGGGGCGGGCGCGCUGCUGUGGAGCACUUUGCGGGCCACCUUCUUGUACGCCGUCUGGUGUGCGUACUGGUCCCGCGAGCCUGCUAAGCAGACGUCGGAGCAUGUGGUUCGGGAGGUGGUCAUCAGCGAGCUGCGCAGGGUGAUGCAGCUGCGUUUCACUGCCGCCACGCUAACCCCUGAAACCCUGUCGGCUCUGCCCACUCAGCUUCUCACCGCACAGCUCAAGGCGGCUAAGCUGGAGCACUUUGUUGCCAUCUGGUCGGCGGGUGGCGCGCUUUGUGAAGUGGAGGAGGUUCAGGGUGGGUCACCGAAGUUGAACUUGCGGCUGACGCUUGCAUUUUUUGUUUUCAGGAAUCAUCCUUACAAGGUUGAACAGGGGCAGACGCGCUGCCCCCCUGCUGCCUGAAAGCAGCCUGGUCCCCGAGACCAGAUCACCUGUGCAGGCCCCCUAGGUUUCCUUUUGGGCGGCUUUUCUAUCCAAGCGCUGGCGUGGUGUACUAUCGUCAUCAGCUUAUCUGGCGUCCAUGUGUUUUAGCUCUGGCUGGCGUCGCAGCGCCUGGGCGGCUGUGGGACUUCCUGCACAGCGCGUCUUGCAGCGGGCUGGAGCCCACUUAGUCAGCGCCACAUCUGGCCCGUUUAGUUUUCUGCUUGUGUCUCCUCUGCCGGUUCUCCUGGGGUGUUGCUUAAGCAACCGACUUGUGGGGGUGGGGUGGGUUUGGGCGGGGCGAGUGCGUUGCGCUGGUGUUUUCUUUUCUGGCGCACGGUGGUGGUUUUUUUUUUUGAGGAAUCAUCCUUACAAGGUUGAACAGGGGCAGACGCGCUGCCCCCCUGCUGCCUGAAAGCAGCCUGGUCCCCGAGACCAGAACCCUGACAGGGCAAGAAGAGAAGAAAAGAGAAGAAAAACAGAAAACAAACACCUCGAAAACCGCCACCAACCACCCCCAUCCAUCCCACCCCACCCCACCCCGACCCGGCAGACAGAGCAGGAGGCUGGCCCCCCCGCCCCCCGGGAGGGGUUGCAAAAAAACACCGCCAGGCCUAACCCAAGCACCAACCUACACCACAGCCUAACCGCAAGAACCACCACCACCGCGCGCCAGAAAUAGAAACACCAGCGCUACGCACUCGCCCCGCCCAAACCCACCCCACCCCCACAAGUUGGUUGCUUAAGCAACACCCCAGGAGAACCGGCAGAGGAGACACAAGCAGAAAACUAAACGGGCCAGAUGUGGCGCUGACUAAGCGGGCUCCAGUCCGCUGCAAGACGCGCUGUGCAGGAAGUCCCACAGCCGCCCAGGCGCUGCGACGCCAGCCAGAGCUAAAACACAUGGGCGCCAGAUAAGCUGAUGACGAUAAACGCCACGCCAGCGCCUGGAACAAACCGCUGCCAAAAAGGAAACCUAGGGGGCCUGCACAGGUGAUGCAAGCGUCAGCCGCAAGUUCAACUUCGGUGACCCACCCUGAACCUCCUCCACUUCACAAAGCGCGCCACCCGCCGACCAGAUGGCCACAAAGUGCUCCAGCUUAGCCGCCUUGAGCUGUGCGGUGAGAAGCUGAGUGGGCAGAGCCGACAGGGUUUCAGGGGUUAGCGUGGCGGCAGUGAAACGCAGCUGCAUCACCCUGCGCAGCUCGCUGACCACCUCCCGAACCACAUGCUCCGACGUCUGCUUAGCAGGCUCACGGGACCAGUACGCACACCAGACGGCGUACAAGAAGGUGGCCCGCAAAGUGCUCCACAGCAGCGCGCCCGCCCCCCGCGGGCCUGAGGCCCACAUACCCAUGCGGUCCCCCAGCAUGAAGCACGCGUCCGUCACUGGCGGCGCCGCUGCCUGGGGCACAACGCAUGCCCACAGCUGCUGCAGCCACGUCCUCGCCUGCGCAUAAGCUGGACACUCCAGGAAGAUGUGCGUCAGGCUGGCCCACGCCCGCGGGCCAGGUGGCCCGCAGGCGGGGUGAGGACAGUGCGCCCCCAACCCCCCGCACCCCGUGGUCACCCGUGGCCGAAUGCCCUUGCCCGCCCUGUACAGCCCGCAAGGCAGGUAAGCAUGUUGCAGCCGGUACACCAGCACCUUUGCCCCCCGACUGGCGUGGCUGUCCCACAGCCUCCGCCACGUACCCCGCAGAAGGGACGCAUCCGGGGGCGGCAUGCGAGGGUCGCCCUCCACCGCCGCUGCUGCUGCCGCCGCCGCCGUGGCAGGCCCAGUGCUAGGUCCCGCCCCUCCCGCCGCCUGCUCCUGCAGCCGCGCGGACCGCCGCGGCCCCUCACCCGACUGCUGGGACGGGGACGCAUACGACUGCAGUUCUCUCGCCGGCGUGUUCUGCUGCCCGGCUGCCGCGGAGGUGCGGUGGAGCCAGGGGUCCAGAGCCACCGGGUUAUUGUGGAAAUGCUGCGCCGCCGUGGUGGUCAGCUGCGCCGCUGCAUGCUGCCACUCCGCCUCCCGCUCCGCCAGCCGCGACUGUGCCGCCGGCUGGGGCCCCGAAUCCCCCGCCUGCUGUGUUGGCGCCGGGCACGGCAUGGCUGCGGGGCGGGCCGGAGCCGGAGGCGCGGCCGGGUUAUUAGCCGCGGUGAUGGCCCGCCGCACGUCCCGCACCGUGUAGUCCGCCAAGCUGACACCCGCAAUCCGGCAGUGCUCCGGGUGCACUACCACCCCAGCCUCCGGCGCCAGGAAGUACGGCGCCCGAGGCCACGCCCCCGCCCGUUCCCCUGGUGAUGCUGCAUCGUACGCCGCCCGCUCUUCAAAGGUCCACAGGUGCCACGGCUUGCGAUGCUGCAGCACACAGGCAGGCUGCCACGCCCCAUCCACCGCCGGGGGCAGCACGCCAGGCCCAGGCUCCAAGAGCCGCCCCGUGUAGUGGACGUAGGACAUAGCCCCCGCAGCGUUAGCCACCCACAGCUGGUCCAGGCUAACCCGCCACUGUGGCGGCGCCGCUGGCGGCUGAGUGGCUGGCUGCGGUGGAUGCUGUUCCACGCCCGCGCUCCGCACGUGGCCGACCGCGGCCGCCAGCCGGGCAGGCAGCCCCGCUGGCGCCGGCGCGUCGCUGUACACCCACGCCCACGUGGUGGCCGAGUCCGGGCGCACAUGAGUAAGCAGCGCCCGGGUGAGCAUCUUCCAGGGUUGCCGGCCUGGCUGGGCAAGGAGGGCGAAAGUCUUAGCUUGCAAGUUCAACUUCGGUGACCCACCCUGAACCUCCUCCACUUCACAAAGCGCGCCACCCGCCGCCCAGAUGGCCACAAAGUGCUCCAGCUUAGCCGCCUUGAGCUGUGCGGUGAGAAGCUGUGUGGGCAGAGCCGACAGGGUUUCAGGGGUUAGCGUGGCGGCAGUGAAACGCAGCCGCAUCACCCUGCGCAGCUUUUUUUUUUUGAGGAAUCAUCCUUACAAGGUUGAAGCUCGCUGACCACCUCCCGUACCACAUUUUGUUUUUUUGAGGGAUCAUCCUUACAAGGUUGAACAGGGGCACAUGCUCCGACGUCUGCUUAGCAGGCUCGCGGGACCAGUACGCACACCAGACGGCGUACAAGAAGGUGGCCCGCAAAGGCUUUUUUUUUAAGGCAUCGACCACGGCAGAGGUUGCUUAGCGAUAAGUUGGUGUGUAACGUCGGUUCAGACCCGAGUUUGAUUCUCCCCAAAUUCGGUACAGGGGAAACCUCUGUGCGUAUUCAAAUCACGCACAGUCGCUCCGCAGGGACCGCACGGCUCUUUAGUCGUGUCCUUGUCAUCCGUGGCUAACGUCAGAUAAGAGAGCGGUCGUAAAGUGCCGGCAAAGGGGCCGGACUCUGGAUUGAUCCAGAGUUUCAGUUGAGAUGUUGCCCAACAGUCGGCAUUACCUGAUCCCCCGAUCUCAGGUACCGAAAGCCGUGAGGGUAGAUCAUCCGAGCUGAACAUGGAUAGGACACCAGGGGCUUAAUCCACUAGCGGACCGCCAUGCGAUCCAUGGGGCGUGCCCCAAAGGGAGUCAAGUGACAUGGGACGCAACCUGACGCAAUGCACGGUGUUAUAGUGCUGAGCUUGAGAGCAGGCGUGUGCAAGUAGUGACCCUUCGUGGCGUAGAGGUGAGGUGAAAGGAGGCUGGUAUAGGAUUGGCGACUGAAGUCUCCGUAUGAUCUGGAGUGCCAGAGUUGUAACAUACGUACGUAGAGCGAAAGGUACUGCGGAUGCUGGCGUGCGCACAACCUUCCGGACCGGUGACUGGGGCGGGGUCGGGGUCAGGGGGGUCGGGGCUGUGCGUCGGACGGUUGGACGUCGAGCCCUACACGUUUUGCCGAUAACAGAGUCUCAGCAUCGCCGCAUUGCUUCAUAUACCGCAUGCACGCUCAGUCUGCAGGUAUUGAACAAAACGGCAGCAUGGCUAUUAAAAGUCGCGACUCCGCGGGACGAAGCGGGGCUGGCAAGAACUUCGUUGCGGCGAAACCGUCUUCGUAAUCCAGGAUGCCUUGAUAAAUUGAUAACAAUGCCUAAGAUGUAUAGCUCUGAUUUAUUGGGGCUGACAGCGCGGCUGUAUUAUGUGGAAAUGCUUGCGCUCGCAGCACACGCGCCCGCGAGGCUUCUGACAGGUAUAUAGGUGCCCAUGUUGAAGCCAUUUAUAUGUUAACAAAUUUAACUGGAUCAGCAGGAGCGUCUGCGAUAAGAUCGGCAUCUAACAUGUCUUUCUUGCAGCUGAGGAGUUCAUAACAUAUGUUUGAGUGUGUUAAAACUCUUGCUGUCACAGUUACUUUCGCGAUCGAGGUUCCCUGACUCGAGUCGGGUGACGGAUCUGCGUCGCUGGGGCCUCCUCUUCCUUGUGUACAGUGGCUUCGUGUAACUCAUUGCUUAUAUAAUAGCAGCGUGCAGUCGGCAGGCGGCGGGAACGUGUGUUUACCAACUUAGCGAAACCGUGCGUUCUGAAACGUAUGGGUGCGCCGCGCCCCCUGCGGGGGCCGGGGCACGCCAACCCCGCUCCCACCGGUGGGCAGGACCGGCAAAUGAUAAGGUGGUCGGGGUGACUUCCCGCCUUCUCUCGAACUGGGUUGAGAGAUGAUCAGCGAAGGCGUUGCCCCGUUAAUACAUGCUAGGCCCUAUGGGCCAGCGUUGGGAUUAUUAUUAUUAUUAUUUUUCCUAUAUCAUAAGAAGAAUACUUAUACAAGGUUUCGGUGCAAAGUGCUCCACAGCAGCGCGCCCGCCCCCCGCGGGCCUGAGGCCCACAGACCCAUGCGGUCCCCCAGCAUGAAGCAUGCGUCCGUCACUGGCGGCGCCGCUGUCUGGGGCGCAACGCAGGCCCACAGCUGCUGCAGCCACGUCCUCGCCUGCGCAUAAGCUGGACACUCCAGGAAGAUGUGCGUCAGGCUGGCCCACGCCCGCGGGCCAGGUGGCCCGCAGGCGGGGUGAGGACAGUGCGCCCCCAACCCCCCGCACCCCGUGGUCACCCGUGGGCGAAUUCCCUUGCCCGCCCGGUACAGCCCGCAAGGCAGGUAAGCAUGUUGCAGCCGGUACACCAGCACCUUUGCCCCCCGACUGGCGUGGCUGUCCCACAGCCUCUGCCACGUACCCCGCAGAAGGGACGCAUCCGGGGGCGGCAUGCGAGGGUCGCCCUCCACCGCCGCCACUGCUGCCGCCGCCGCCGUGGCAGGCCCCGUGCUAGGUCCCGCCCCACCCACCGCCUGCUCCUGCAGCUGCGCGGAACGCCGCGGCCCCUCACCCGAGUGCUGGGACGGGGACGCAUACGACUGCACAGUGCUCGUAUCUUCCUUCUUUUCGACAGAAAUUUGCCCCCAAAAGCCUCCGGCGGAAGAAAUUUUUGAUUCUGAAGUCCAAAAAUCUGUGAAAACGCUUCAGGUUUUGGGGGGUCUUUCUGAGAAUGGCAGAAGACAUUUUGGGGCGUUUCUGUCACUUGUCCGGGCCCAAGGCAAGGGUGACUGAGGUUCUCCAGGAUAAUCUACGGCCGUGUCCUGCUGGGGGGCACACCACGAUAGGCCAGCCUUCUACCAGGGUAGUCAUGCCGUGGGUGAGUGAGCAUGAUGAGCGUGGGUGAGGGCGCUGGGGUUUGGCGUGGGGAUGGGCCACGAUUUGCCAUGGAGCCAUGAAGCCGGUGCUUUAUUCAGCAAUAGCGUUAAUGUGGCAACAGCUACCUCACCCCGCACGCUGUAACAGUGGCACAUCCCGUGCGGCGGAAUAUUUUGCUGUGCCGGAGCCGGAACGGGGGCUGGGGGCAACUGCAGCCGCAUUUGGCACGCUGCAACAGGGCAAGCCUGACACACCCCUGGCCUGACACGAAUCGCGCAUAUGUUGGGGGCGGAGCCCCCGGAAAAAUUUUGGGGAUGAAAGAUGCGGCGGCAGCGGGUUUCUGAAAAUUAAAGAUGCCUGUUUUCGGAAAUCUGUCACUGGCGCCGCGCCUGCCUUCUUAAGAUACGAGCACUGCGACUGCAGUUCUCUCGCCGGCGUGUUCUGCUGCCCGGCUGCCGCGGAGGUGCGGUGGAGCCAGGGGUCCAGAGCCACCGGGUUAUUGUGGAAGUGCUGCGCCGCCGUGGUGGUCAGCUGCGCCGCUGCAUGCUGCCACUCCGCCUCCCGCUCCGCCAGCCGCGACUGUGCCGCCGGCUGGGUCCCCGAACCCUCCGCCUGCUGUGCCGGCGCCGGGCACGGCAUGGCUGCGGGGCGGGCCGGAGCCGGAGGUGUGGCCGGGUUAUUAGCCGCGGUGAUGGCCCGCCGCACGUCCCGCACCGUGUAGUCCGCCAAGCUGACACCCGCAAUCCGGCAGUGCUCCGGGUGCACCACCACCCCAGCCUCCGGCGCCAGGAAGUAUGGCGCCCGAGGCCACGCCCCCGCCCGUUCCCCUGGUGAUGCUGCAUCGUACGCCGCCCGCUCUUCAAAGGUCCACAGGUGCCGCGGCUUGCGGUGCUGCAGCACACAGGCAGGCUGCCACGCCCCAUCCACCGCCGGGGGCAGCACGCCAGGCCCAGGCUCCAAGAGCCGCCCCGUGUAAUGGACGUAGGACACAGCCCCCGCAGCGUUAGCCACCCAGAGCUGGUCCAGGCUAACCCGCCACUGUGGCGGCACCGCUGGUGGCUGAGUGGCUGGCUGCGGCGGAUGCUGUUCCACGCCCGCGCUCCGCACGUGGCCGACCGCGGCCGCCAGCCGGGCAGGCAGCCCCGCUGGCGCCGGCGCGUCGCUGUACACCCACGCCCACGUGGUGGCGGAGUCCGGGCGCACAUGGGUAAGCAGCGCCCGGGUGAGCGUCUUCCAGGGUUGCCGGCCUGGCUGGGCAAGGGCAUAUGACCGGGUGCACCGGCAGUGGCUUUUGUUUUUAAAGUCAUCCUUACAAGGGUGCGGCAACCCGGUCUCACCCGCGUUUUGUGCACCGUCCAAAUUUGCACUCGCUUUAACCCCGCAAAACUGGUCGGGGCAAAAGUCCGACUAGGAAUCCAACCUUAUGGGCAGCUUGCCAGCGUGUCAGAUCCGUAGUCCGACAUUUGCCCCAGUGCCGUACGGCCCUUUCCGUGUGGGGUCUCUUGGGGGCAGAUAGGGGGGUUCCCCGACGGCAAAAGGGUCACCCCUGAUUUCCCCGCGCUCUCAGGCAAUUCUCAUACAUAGCAUUGACUUGCUGGUUGAGUGGCAGGGCGGUCUGCGCUCGCCUGCGGUCGAAGUAGGUGGGUUUUGGCCAGCCAGCCAGCGGGCUCGAUGGGUACGUGCGGGCACGGAAACGUGCUGGAGGGGGCAUAAACUCACUCAACAUGCUAUUUAGACACAUAAUACCGCAUUGGAAUGUAUCCCGGAGCAAAAUGCGAGAAUCAACCGACUGGCCAUUUCGCGACCGAGCGAGGUCCCUCAAGCAGCCAUUUCCUCAAUAUAUCAACGUUGCCGUGCCUAUACGUAGCUAUAUGUAGAUGCUAGAGAGUCUCUGCGGGGGCUAAAAGCAGCUCUUCGCGCAAAAUGUCGGGGCAUGCAGCUGCAUUUCGCGAGCUCGGCGAGCGGACAGGCCGCGGCAGGGCCCAUAACAGCUAUUCAUAACAUACAUAUGUCAUGAAUAGGCACUUGGGGCGGUUUGGGCCUUGGACGGUGCCGCGUGUAUGGGCACGUCCCGGGUGCGUGAGACCGGGUUGGGGUGCGGAGUGCUGUCGAAACGCGAACGCGAAUGUGCGCGACACGAAGAGAAGUUGUAGUCGCUAGCACGCAUAGAAGGCCGGUUAGCAGGAGGCGGUCACAGCAGACAUGUUACCUCAUCCAGACGGUAAACGCCACGGGCAAUAGAGGAGCGCCGCCGACCCAUCACUGAUAUAACCAGGUUGCGAUGGCUAGGCUGUCGGACGGCUGGCGGGCUGGCGCGGAGCGGAGCUGCGGGGCGCGCGGCAUCCGAAACCAACCUGGAAAACACCAGCGCCACCGUCGGGGUGCGGUGGUAGACGCACUACCACCCUACUGCCAAGGCAGCCUGGAUCAUAUCACAGAACCUCGAUAGGGCCAGAGAUCAGAGAAGAGAAGAGAAUUUUGUUCCACCACACACCUACUGGAGACCUCAACAGCCAGGUGACAACUACAGC
This 9398-nucleotide long non-coding RNA is filed under the name Chlamydomonas reinhardtii. RNAcentral's name for it is "long non-coding RNA (CREI_LNC001036)". Lineage: Eukaryota; Viridiplantae; Chlorophyta; Chlorophyceae; Chlamydomonadales; Chlamydomonadaceae. The record is from RNAcentral.